This 778-nucleotide long non-coding RNA is filed under the name Zea mays. Its description in RNAcentral is "drought responsive lncRNA". Lineage: Eukaryota; Viridiplantae; Streptophyta; Magnoliopsida; Poales; Poaceae. The record is from RNAcentral.
GUGAUGUUAAUUUUCUUUAUAUACUGUGCUUGUUUGUAUUGUGGCGAGUAGAGGAGCCAGUAGCUGAGGAUCCUGGUGACCAGCAGAUAGAAGUUGUUGAGCAGGAGCUCAUUGAAGGCAAGUUGUGCCCUUGAUCACUUAUUUUUACCCAGUCAUGUUCUUAUUAAUCAUAAUGAUCUGCAUAGGUUAAUUUUGAUGGGACCCAAUAGGCCACCCUAGUCUGUUUAUACUUUUUACCUUGUUUACCCCUGAAUCACUUGGGUAGUUUUGCUACUGCUUUAUAUGGUUUUUGGUUCAAUAGUUCAUUACAUCUAUGUUCCAAUUAUGCUGUUAUGUUAUUUAUGUUCAUGAUAAGAUCAUUAUGUUAAUGAGAGCAUGGAGAACCACUCGAGAAAACGUGCCACCACAAGGAAGAAAUGGGACCCCUUGGCUAACUAAUUAGGAAAGCUAGUGGAAGACUACCUUACCCGAAAGGGGCAAGGGCAGUAGGGGAGUUGCAUGCAGGGAGGUUCUCGGGUUGAUUUUGCUGCGAUGGCGGUCAGACAGGGGAUUCUUGCAAAUGCUCUUCCCAUAAACUGUAGCGGGUUUUCUGAAGCUAGUGGAACUUUGUAAAGGCCUCAUAGUGUUACCCUGCCUCGCCUCCUCAGUAGAGGUGUAUGAGAUUGGCCGUCUCUUGGCAGAUGGGUAACAUGACUUGUGGGUACAGGGUACAACCUCUGCAGAGUGUAAAAUUGGUAUACUAGACGUGCUCACGGUCAUGAGCGACCCAGACACUCAC